RNAcentral lists this ribosomal RNA (273 nucleotides) under uncultured bacterium. Its description in RNAcentral is "partial 16S ribosomal RNA". It matches the Rfam family "Bacterial small subunit ribosomal RNA", at positions 524 to 796 of the family's 1533-position model. The record is from RNAcentral.
UACGUAGGGUGCAAGCGUUAAUCGGAAUUACUGGGCGUAAAGCGUGCGCAGGCGGCUUUGCAAGACAGAUGUGAAAUCCCCGGGCUCAACCUGGGAACUGCAUUUGUGACUGCAUGGCUGGAGUGCGGCAGAGGGGGAUGGAAUUCCGCGUGUAGCAGUGAAAUGCGUAGAUAUGCGGAGGAACACCGAUGGCGAAGGCAGUCCCCUGGGCCUGUACUGACGCUCAUGCACGAAAGCGUGGGGAGCAAACAGGAUUAGAAACCCCUGUAGUCC